GGCCACCAGAACCUACAGUGGCAACCCGGGUUCCGUUCCAUGCUAUGGAAGCCCCGUUGUUUCACUUUUUGCAAUAAAUCUUGCUGCUGUUGAGUCUUUGGGUUUACACUGGCUUUAUGAGCUGUAACACUCAUCGGGAAGGUCUGCAGCUUCACUCCUGAAGCCAGCGAGUCCACGAACCCAUCAGAAGGAAGAAACUCCAGACACAUCUGAACAUCUGAAGGAACAAAGUCCGGACACACCAUCUUUAAGAACUGUAACACUCACCGCAAGGGUCCGUGGCUUCAUUCUUGAAGUCAGCGAGACCAAGAACCCACCGGAAGGAACCAAUCCCGGACACAGUAUGGUCUUUCUAGGAAGCAAUGAAGCCUGCGGCUUAGAGCAGAACUCAGGUGUCAUCAAUAGCUAUUAAUGGAACGAAGACUCAUCUCCCUCAGACUCACACGGGAUAUGCAGCUGUUCACUAUAAAAUGGUCCAGGUUUUCUGCAUCUGCUUCUUAGUAAACUUGUGUGACUGCCCAAUAAAUUUCCACACGCCCAAUAUUCUCCCCUUCUCCCUUUCUCUCCUUUCCCCUCCCUUCCCCUUCCUUUCUUUCUCUUUCAGACCUGGCACCGCUGAUGAAUUAGAGGGACACACAGGCUUUCUAGAAGCUCACUGAGUAGCUUUUCAUACGAUAGACAUUUGUUGAAUGUCCUCUAUAUGCCAAGCCCUGGGGAUGGCCCUCUAUAUGGUGCUAAACAGGUGAUUGGCUGGUGAGGUUUGGGGAAGCACAUUUUAUUCAUGGCUCCCUUAUUUUGUUGUAUUAUUUCUCCUGCAUAACAUGUGCCUCAAUCAAAGCCAUUUAUGAUGUGAAUGUAUGAAAACUAUAAUUUUGAGCAUCCCCCAGUGUGUUCCCUGCCCUCCAAUCAAGCCUCCUACCAGCUCUCCUCCCACCCCAGCCUUGUGGCACUACCCUGUGCUCUCUCCCUGGCUGAAAGCCCCUUCUCUUUGCUGAUUCAAAUCCCAUCCAACAUUCAAAACCACCACCUCCAUAAUGUCUUUCUGAUGGCUCACAUCCUCAUUGAUUUCUUGGAGAUAUAAUUCAGGGUAACAGUUAAAAAACUGGGCUCUAAAUUAAGGAGAGGGGUUAACUCUAAGGAAAGGAGAACGAGAUGUGUUCAGGGCCUUCAUCUAUUGCUAACAUUUUAUCUUAAGCUGGGUGAUGGAUAUACAGGUAUUUUUUUUAAACAUAGUUAAUUAUAUAAUUUUGUAUGGUUGAAUUAUUUUAUAAAAGAAAAAGGUCACGUAUUAAGUGUGCUACCUUGUGCAAGUUCCCUAACUUCUUUAUGCCCCAGUUACCUCAUUUGUAGGAAAUGAUAAUAGUGCCCUCUUUAUAGAAUGUUGUGAGGGUUAAUAAUAUCAGAUAAUGCCUGUCAGGAAUUUACAAAGUGCUUGACAUAUAGUAAGAACUCAAUAAAUGUUUUCCUCUUUUCCCCUUGAACUCCCCAGAGUGCUUUUGCUCAGAAUUAUAUAAUUUAAUAUUUAAUUGAACCUUGUUUGGUUCUGUGAUUUUUGCUCAUUUUUUUUACUGUGCUCCUCUUUUUUCUUGAGGGCAGGCACAGUGUGCUAUCCUUCUUCCUAAGCUCCACAGCACCCUCGCAUGGUGCCCAGGGUAUCUGAAUAUGUUCAUAAAUUCUUAAGGUUGAUUGAUUGGAAUGGUCUUUUCAAGGAUUAACUGUAUAUGAGUCCCAUGGUUUUUCGCUCAUCUGUGUCUGAGUAUCUGAAGAAGAAACCUGUGCGUGUCUGUUACUUUCCUCCUGUGAUAUGACCUAUGAGCAGCUACCU
This 1825-nucleotide long non-coding RNA is filed under the name Homo sapiens (human). RNAcentral describes it as "HSALNT0022397". Lineage: Eukaryota; Metazoa; Chordata; Mammalia; Primates; Hominidae. The record is from RNAcentral.